CAGUAGCCGCGGUAAUACGUAGGGUGCGAGCGUUGUCCGGAAUUAUUGGGCGUAAAGAGCUUGUAGGCGGUCUGUCGCGUCUGCUGUGAAAACCCGAGGCUCAACCUCGGGCCUGCAGUGGGUACGGGCAGACUAGAGUGCGGUAGGGGAGAACGGAACUCCUGGUGUAGCGGUGGAAUGCGCAGAUAUCAGGAAGAACACCGAUGGCGAAGGCAGUUCUCUGGGCCGUAACUGACGCUGAGAAGCGAAAGCGUGGGGAGCGAACAGGAUUAGAUACCCCUGUAGUCCCUGUCUCUUAUAC
RNAcentral lists this ribosomal RNA (301 nucleotides) under uncultured bacterium. Its description in RNAcentral is "partial 16S ribosomal RNA". It matches the Rfam family "Bacterial small subunit ribosomal RNA", at positions 509 to 807 of the family's 1533-position model. The record is from RNAcentral.